GUUUGAAUCAAUUUGUAUUUUUAAGCCUGAAAAAAGUCGUAUUUUUUUUUAUAUUAUAUUUUAUAUUUUUAUAUUUGAUUUAAUAUAUACGUAUUUUGGGUCAAUGUAUCAUUAGGCAGAAAUUUUAAAGCUUUUAUUUUUUUUUUGGAGGAGGGAGGUUCUGGAUGUAAAAUAGCCUUAAAAUUAUAUAUUCUAUAAAGACUGACAAUACAAAUUUGCGGGGAAGGCUUUGGAUAAUUUCAUCGCCCUCCAAUCUCCGUCGAUGAUACAUACUUAUACAAUUUUGUAACAGUUAAUGAGAAGCUAUAGAUAUUGGCGGGGAACAAAGGAAUUCUUCUGAAGUAAAAUCUACCCGUUAAAGAUGAUGUUUGUUUUGGAAUAUAUGAUGGAUUGUUGAGGUUUAGAAAUCAACAUAAAUCGCAAUUCGUAAUUAAUAAGUUCGUGAGAAGAUUAUUAUACAAUUUAAUAAAGUCAUGAGACUAAACUUAGUAGGUAUACACAAUGGUUCGUCAAUUAUAAUUUCGUCCAAUUAUGCGUAUUCAGUGUGGUCGUUGCCGUUGAACGAUACAAUUUAAAAAAAAAAUGCCCACCGGAUGUAUAAUGAACACUACACGUCUACACGGUUAUUAUAUGUUAUGAACCGAGCGGAUGUAUACAUAUUAUUAUAGACGGCUCUAUUGGUAAACAAAUAAUAUUUUUCAUAAAAUGCAUCAACGAAAUAAUGAGUAUAUCAACACAAUAUUCCAUAUAAUAUUCUCAUGGACGAACAAACGGGAGAGGAGGAGAGGGGGAAGUAUCCCCUCCCCAAUCAACAUAUUGUUCUUAAAUACAGGAUAUUUUUUAAUUAUGUUCACCCCAUUUUCGCGGUAAAAUUAUGCAUAAAUUCAAAUUUUGAUUUUUAGAAUUGUUAAGUAUAGUGAAUAAAAUUAUAUUUUCAUAACAUUUAUGGAGUA
Cinara cedri is the source of this 953-nucleotide non-coding RNA. NCBI's taxonomy places the organism in Eukaryota, Metazoa, Arthropoda, Insecta, Hemiptera, Aphididae. The record is from the annotation of a GenBank genome assembly.